UCUUCCUGUCGAUGUUGACUCAAAACAGACCACCACCACCACCACCACCACCACCACCACUACCUAACGCUGUGUCCAGGCUGGAAUGUGUGACCUCUCUGCCAGGAAUCUCACCGUCCUCUCACACUCUGACACCAAGUACCUCACAACAACACCUGCAAUACUACACCUCUGAGCCCCCCCGGAGCCUGGCGGCCCUGCUCGGUCCCUUCCACGACUCGCAGCGAGAGAGAGAGAAGUCGAGGUGCGGUGGUCUCGUGGCGGAAGGCUGAAGGAGGCGGUGAAGGAGUGAAGGUGUGAAGUGUGCAGCUUCCACUUCAUCAUCCCAUGAACAGCCCACAGGAAUCUCUACCAGCACCUGGUUAUUAAACAGUGUUGUCACGCCAGGCCCAAUGUACUCCAUUGCAAUCAGGGAGUCAGGGAGUCAAGCUUCACCAGGAAAAGAGGCAGAGCGUCACCACCUUCAAGCCCCACAAGAGGUAUUAAGUAUCGUUGGGACAAAGCAAUCAGGGAAGAGUCAAGUUGCAGUAAGAAGAGUGUGUCAAGAAUUUCAAGCAGGAAGAACACGUAAAAUUCCCUUCAAGUCAUGGUGGGACCGACAGGCAACCUUCAACACUUGUGGAGGCACGAGAGCUGCAGGCAGUUUCACAAAGAAGAGGUUGCUCCUCACUCAAGUUGAUGCAAGGACACAAGAAUUGGCAAGUGUUGUUGCUCCCAGGCCCUGCUGCAAGAGUUCUCCAGUCCACUCCAGUCUGGGAAGGAAGAAUGUAGCAAGUCCCUCUCUUCUGUACUCAACAACCACCACCACCACCUUCAUUCAGGCUUGGGAUAAGUUUUGUACAUUCCAGCACUUCAGUAAUAAGGAAAAAAAGUGCCAUGUUUAUAUUAUUGUUGUGUAUUUAUUCACUUAACAUUCACAUUAAAACAAUAAACAUUCA
Long non-coding RNA from Scylla paramamosain (green mud crab), 938 nucleotides. RefSeq lists it as uncharacterized. The transcript has 4 exons. Lineage: Eukaryota; Metazoa; Arthropoda; Malacostraca; Decapoda; Portunidae. The record is from RefSeq and is a predicted model, not a curated record.